AUUCAACACCUUUAUCAAAAGCCAAGUCGAUGACAUUGACUCGAUAGAAGCCUAUGUCAACAUCAAGCGGUUUGCCAAAGUCACCGAGAAAAAAGUCCUGAACUACCUUGAGGAUGAAGUCGGCAUACUGGAUAAAUAUGCUAUAUCCGAAAUUGCGUCUGAAUAUAAAAAAUCUGUGGACGUCAUCCAGGAUAUAGAUUUUAAGGAGAUCCAGCUUCUUCACAUCAUUGGACUCCAUUUCCAGCGACUCAAAGAAAAGCUCAAGGUUAUCGUCCAGGACUCAAACCAACG
Long non-coding RNA from Bufo bufo (common toad), 291 nucleotides. RefSeq lists it as uncharacterized. The record is from RefSeq and is a predicted model, not a curated record. Lineage: Eukaryota; Metazoa; Chordata; Amphibia; Anura; Bufonidae. The transcript is spliced from 3 exons.